AAAGUGACUAAUCUCGUUGGUUGAGGCAAUAUUGGUCAAAUUAACUGUGACAUUGGUAACUAUUAAACAAACAAAUUGGUUAUCUAACAACUAAUAUCAUUGGUUAAGAACAAAUUGGUUGAUUUAACAAAGAUAUUGGUUAACUUUAAUAACAGAUUGGUUGAAAAAUGACUAAUAUCAUUGGUUAAGCAAAUGUUAACUAAGAGAUUGGUAACUGACGCAGGUCUGACGCUCAACGUCAAGUACGUAACUCUGCUUCUCAAUUUUCUGACAAAGCCGCCAUCUUGGUGCUGCAGGAAAGCCGUUUGAGAUAUUGGUGGAAUUCAAACACUUUGUGAGAUGACAGAAUAUUGCUGAAGGAUCCUACAUAAGGCUGGCUGAUUACACGGAGUGAUUCCUCUGGUGUGGUGUACCUCAGAGAAAUAAACACUGUUGCAAGAGCUGAGAAGAUGGCCAAGAUAUCCUUAUUGCUGGAUGGUAGCUCUGGUCGUAGUGGACCAUAUCUGCAAAUGCUUCUGAACAUUGACAGAAUUUCUAAAGAUGACUGAGAAUAUUACUGAAGGAUCCUACAUGGAAGCUGUCUGAUUACACUGAGUGAUUCCUCUGGUGUGGUGUACCUCAGAGAAAAUAAACACUGUUGCAAGAGGUGAGAAGAUAUCCUUAUUGCUGGAUGGUUGCUCUCUGGUCGUACUUGAGCCCCCUGGACCAUGUCUGCAAAUGCUUCUGAACAUUGACAGAAUUUCUAAAGGAUCGCUGAGGACUCCCCCUCCAUGCGUGACAUCUUUGAGAAAUUUCCACGCUUUCUGGAGAUGCCAAGUUUGACUGGAACCAACUUUGCAUCCCUCGGCACUGACACUGAGAAGGUUUCAAGGACCCCACUACUAGGAGGCGAGAGUUUGACACGGCAUUGUCAUCACUGCCAUGGAUGACAACGUAACCAUUCCUGUUGCUGAUUGCCUGACUUGCGCAGUGACAAGCUUUUCAUGCUCUACUGGGUGUGUAACUUGGCAUAUCCACCACAGUUUAACUCUGUUUUUGCCUCUUUUGAAUAUGUGUACGAUAUAACCAUCUCAACCAACACGUGGGCCAAGGUACUGGAACAUUUCUCACUUCAAGUUGCUCUGUAGUCACUGGACAU
Engraulis encrasicolus (European anchovy) is the source of this 1138-nucleotide long non-coding RNA. RefSeq lists it as uncharacterized. The record is from RefSeq and is a predicted model, not a curated record. The transcript has 7 exons. NCBI's taxonomy places the organism in Eukaryota, Metazoa, Chordata, Actinopteri, Clupeiformes, Engraulidae.